Molecule: long non-coding RNA, 926 nt
Organism: Erigeron canadensis
Lineage: Eukaryota; Viridiplantae; Streptophyta; Magnoliopsida; Asterales; Asteraceae
Exons: 4
Source: RefSeq, a predicted model, not a curated record
AAUCUGGGUGACUGGGUGAUAAAAAAAAAUAAAAGAAAAAAAAAACCUCGAAGGAACGAUUGAACGAGAAACCAUCAAAUGAUCAGAAGGCAUCCUACUAAAGCUUCACAGGUUUUAUAACUUUUAUCAUGGUGAAGAAAAGAACAAUUGAUCAAUUUUAUAAGCGAAAGGAAGUUGUUGUUCAUGACCAACAACCACAACAAGAAAGAGAUGAUGUUCAUAACUUGCAACCAGAGUUGCCUAAUGAUAAUCUUGUGGACGAGUCUCCUAGAGUUGAACAUGAAGAAACUGAUCUUAAUUCAUUGAUUCGAGAUCCUGGGUCCCGACCUUCGAUCUCAAGUUGUGUAGAGGCUUGCAAGAAACUGGGAGGUGUGAAAACUAUGAAUUGGUGGACAGAUUGAUUCGUCUUAUAUUAACACUCCCGGUUUCAACUGCAACUAGUGAAAGAGCCUUCUCUGCAAUGAAAAUUGUGAAAACAAGACUACGUAGUACCAUGAGUGACGAAUUUCUGAAGAGUUGUUUGAUUCUUUACAUCGAACGAGAGAUUGCUAUCAUUUUCUACCGAUCAGUUAAUAGAUGCUUUUGAUUCUUUUAAAGGAAGACGUGUCAAACUGCGGACGCACAAGCAGGUUGCCUCGUGAAGAAAUGGACUGGCUACUUUGAACAUUCACAACUUUUGAAGAUUGUUUUUUUGCAAAACUUACGUAUCUAUUAUCUUGUCGAUGAACUAUUGGAAGGGUUGCGUUGAAAGAUUUUCACUUUGGGCGACUGCUGGACCAAAUGUUCAUCAACGAGCAUAGUCUUAUGGAAAUAUAUAAAUUGAUAAUUUUUUGUUUCUACUUUUUUCUAGCUUAUUACUUUGUUUGAUUUGGUAUCAAAUGUAUUAAUGCUUAGUUUCGAUGUAGAUAUCACCUCUACUUGUUUUA